This 253-nucleotide ribosomal RNA is filed under the name uncultured prokaryote. RNAcentral's name for it is "partial 16S ribosomal RNA". It matches the Rfam family "Bacterial small subunit ribosomal RNA", at positions 525 to 777 of the family's 1533-position model. The record is from RNAcentral.
ACGGGGGGUGCGAGCGUUGUCCGGAAUCACUGGGCGUAAAGGGCGCGUAGGCGGUCCAGUAAGCGUGUGGUGAAAGCCCGGGGCUCAACCCCGGGUCGGCCGUGCGAACUGCGGGACUCGAGCACUGUAGAGGCAGGCGGAAUUCCGGGUGUAGCGGUGGAAUGCGUAGAGAUCCGGAGGAACACCGGUGGCGAAGGCGGCGUCCUGGACCAACACUGACACUGAUGAGCGAAAGCCAGGGGAGCAAACGGGA